GAUGAACGCUGGCGGCGUGCCUAAUACAUGCAAGUCGAGCGAACAGACGAGGAGCUUGCUCCUCUGACGUUAGCGGCGGACGGGUGAGUAACACGUGGAUAACCUACCUAUAAGACUGGGAUAACUUCGGGAAACCGGAGCUAAUACCGGCUCAUAUAUUGAACCGCAUGGUUCAAUAGUGAAAGACGGUUUUGCUGUCACUUAUAGAUGGAUCCGCGCCGCAUUAGCUAGUUGGUAAGGUAACGGCUUACCAAGGCAACGAUGCGUAGCCGACCUGAGAGGGUGAUCGGCCACACUGGAACUGAGACACGGUCCAGACUCCUACGGGAGGCAGCAGUAGGGAAUCUUCCGCAAUGGGCGAAAGCCUGACGGAGCAACGCCGCGUGAGUGAUGAAGGUCUUCGGAUCGUAAAACUCUGUUAUUAGGGAAGAACAAAUGUGUAAGUAACUAUGCACGUCUUGACGGUACCUAAUCAGAAAGCCACGGCUAACUACGUG
Molecule: ribosomal RNA, 497 nt
Filed under: uncultured bacterium
Lineage: Bacteria
Description: partial 16S ribosomal RNA
Rfam family: Bacterial small subunit ribosomal RNA
Source: RNAcentral